UACGAAGGGGGCUAGCGUUGCUCGGAAUCACUGGGCGUAAAGCGCAUGUAGGCGGCUUCUUAAGUCAGGGGUGAAAUCCUGGAGCUCAACUCCAGAACUGCCUUUGAUACUGAGGAGCUUGAGUCCGGGAGAGGUGAGUGGAACUGCGAGUGUAGAGGUGAAAUUCGUAGAUAUUCGCAAGAACACCAGUGGCGAAGGCGGCUCACUGGCCCGGUACUGACGCUGAGGUGCGAAAGCGUGGGGAGCAAACAGG
Molecule: ribosomal RNA, 253 nt
Filed under: uncultured bacterium
Lineage: Bacteria
Description: partial 16S ribosomal RNA
Rfam family: Bacterial small subunit ribosomal RNA
Source: RNAcentral